RNAcentral lists this long non-coding RNA (2562 nucleotides) under Nicotiana benthamiana. Its description in RNAcentral is "long non-coding RNA (NBEN_LNC030368)". The record is from RNAcentral. Lineage: Eukaryota; Viridiplantae; Streptophyta; Magnoliopsida; Solanales; Solanaceae.
ACUUUUCAAGACCGGUCUCUCUCUCUUUCUCUCUCUAUCGAUCUCUUCCUCUCCUCCUUCUCUCUAGAACCUUCUGGUUCUUCUUCUCCGAUGGCCUUCACCAUCUCUCCGCCCACCUCCAGCCUCGCCUCUUUCGACCACCAGUCGCUUUGAAGCCUUAUCUCACCGGUUCUAUCCAUCCCUAAGACUCUAGAAGUCUUCACCAUGCAAGAUGGUCGCUGAAGCUUUGCCUACAUUUGUUUUCUGCCUUUCUUCGAUGGGUUUUGGUCUGAUGGUGCUACAAACACUAUUAUUCCUAAAGUUUCAUAGCCAGGUUUCUCUUACUUCUCUCACUGGUUUCUUAUGAAACCCUAAUCUCGACCAAACCUUUUAAAUCUUUGUAUUUUUGAUGAUUUUUAACUCACGCCUUUAUGUUUUGCAUUACUCUCUACUCAAUCUUUACGAUUGCUCAAGUUAUAAACAUUUUUGUUCCCUUUUUGAAACUAGGGUUUCUAAACUUCGCUCCUUUCGACCAUCAGUCACCUUGAAGCAUUAUCUCAUCAGUUCCCUUCAUCCCUGAGACCCCAUGAGUAUUCACCAUGCCAUAUGGUCACCGAAGCUUUGCCUGGGUUUGUUUCCGGCCUUUCUCCGAUGGGUUUUGCCUCGAUGGUGCUAUAAACACCAUUAUUCCUAAGUUUCACAGUCAUAUUUCUCUUACUUCUCUCUCUAGUUUCUUAUGAAGCCCUAAUCUCAACCCAAACCUCUUAAAUCUCUGUAUUUUUUUAUAAUGUUUAAUUCAAACCUUUAUGUUUUGCACUAUUCUCUACUCGAUCUUUACGAUUAUUCAAGUUUUAAACGUUUUUGUUCCCUUUAAAAACUAGGGUUUCUUGACCCCUUUUCAAAAAUAUUUUAUCUUCUGAUUUUGAGUACUAAUUCAUGAUUCUCAGUACUAUUUCUAAAUCAUUUUUGCUUAAGCCUCAUUAUUUUGAUGAAAUCCUAGCUUUAGUGUUUAUAAUUGUAUUAUUUUGUCGUGUUUUCUUGUUUGUGUGUUAUUCUGGAUUCUUCUCUGAAUUCUUUGCUCUUUACUUUAAUUUUGUUGCUAAUGUUUCAAUCCCCUAAUGUUCUGUGUUCUCUUCUUAGGGUUUCUCUGAUAUGGUUCAAUAUAGGCUAGGUAUUGUUUAAUAAACUUGACUAUUCAUCCUAUUGAUUGUUUACAUGGUGAUUUUAUACUCAUUCUUACAAGCUCCCUUUAAGACUGUGACACUUGCCUUAAAAAUUGUGAUUUUGGUGUAUUUUCCUUAUAGUUUGGUAUUUGAUUUCGAAUUGCUUCUUUAAUUUGUGGAAUACCUUCCUCAAUUAUUACUAAUCCCCUAGAUUUUCAAUCUCGUUCAUUAUUUUGAGACUAUUUUCCAGAAUUAAAGUAGUAUUUUUCCCUAUAUAUGUGCACAAAUAUGUUGUUGAUUUGUCUGACAUAUUUUCCUAAUUAAGUAUCAUGACCUAGUCUUUAUUGUAUACCUUAUACUAUUCUGUUCCUUGUGUGAUCAUACUAUGCUUUAUGAUUUCUUUUCUUUUAAAUAAUUUCUUAUUACCAUUUGACUAUGAUUCCUUAAUUAAAGGGUAGUCCUUUUGCUAAUUUGAUUAUGAUUGAUACUCAGUUCCUUAAUUAUUGUUGAAUUAUUGAUUUCUACCUUAUUUGUUUACUCGUAUUCAGUACUAUAAGUACCCUCAUUCUCUUUUUCAUUACACGCUGACACAUUGCAUAUCGCAAACAAACACAACAAUAAACAUUGCUCUUUCUCUUCUGGUACUUCUCUCUUUUGAUCUAUUGUUGUUCCCUACUCCUGACUAUUAUUAGCCGGCUGAAAAGCCAUGCUAAUAUUGUGCUCAUAUUGGAUCUUGCACUCUGAUGUGCUCUCUUGUUGAUAGUAUGUCCUAAUUAAUUUCAAAGUUCAAAACCAAUGUGGUUAUUACUACUUCAGUGUGUUAUAUUCUUAAUUGUUUUCUACCUAUGCUUCUACUGUGCAACAUGUAAUUGACUCCCUAGUUGCCUGUUGAUAAUUUCAUGCUCAUGACCAAUGUUUGAUCCUAAUCUUUCCUGUUAUGACUAUAUUCUGUUACCGCCUACUAAUAUUUCUAAAUUCGACCAUUCCUAGGUCCCUUAAAUCUCUUUGAUUUUGUGUACUCAUGCUUAGUGAGUUUGCAUAAGUCUCUGCAUCUCUUGGUGAUAUUAUGUGAUCUAGUUGUCCCCUUUGCCCAAUACCCCUGUGUGCAACUCUCCAAUUUUUGUAAACUCUUUAAACUAUAAAUUUUCCUCUUCUUCCUGCACUUCACAUUACUCUUAGAAAUUAGGUUCUACUCCCUACGUGUAAGCAUUGCCUUGAUUAUCCCUAAGUACUCAUUAAACUUUGAUACACGAGGGUGGUAAUUUCACAUUGCACCCGUCCAAUAUUUUGGUAAGUUUUUGGGUGCUGGUAUUGACCAUGGACUCAAUGAGGGCCCUAGGGAGCUUUGCCGCACCCUGACCAUGUCAAUGCUAUAAAACUCGAAAGGAGUGAGGUUGGAAGAAUUGGCUUGAUUGAAGGC